AUUUAGUAGCAUACAUACCCUUUGAUUUUGGGUCAUGACCUCCCAAAUCCAGGAUGGUGGCACAUAGCAUCUUGGACAAGCCAGAGUGCCAGAACAUAAUGAUGAGACAUGAUAUUUGGGCACGGAUGUUCCCAUCUGGCACACAGAGGCAGCAGGAGAGCAGGUGUAGAAGGCCAUCUGGGCUUGGAGAAGUGGCCAAACAUACUUCCACCUGAGCAUAUGAAUACUGCUCCUGCUGGACCUCUAUGAAGAGUGUAAAGAGCUGGGCAUUAAGCAAUCAAAUAUGCUAAAAACAAUAACUUCAUAGAGGAUAUGAUCAUAAGACAGGAGAUCUUAGAAAUGGAAAGGACCUCAGGAGUCAUUUGGUCUAGCCUCUGCCUUCAGAUCAAUGAAAACUGCUUAUGAAAUGCAAACAGAUGGGCAGAGGCUUUUGGCUCCUCUCCUACGGCAACACAUUUUACCAAGAUGAGAAUGUGAGAUUUUACACCUGUAUGUUUCCAGCAAAAGAAAACUUAUCAAAAGAAAUCAAACUGCCCAAAUAAAUAG
This is a non-coding RNA of Phascolarctos cinereus (koala), 546 nucleotides long. Lineage: Eukaryota; Metazoa; Chordata; Mammalia; Diprotodontia; Phascolarctidae. The record is from RefSeq and is a predicted model, not a curated record.